This 398-nucleotide ribosomal RNA is filed under the name uncultured bacterium. Its description in RNAcentral is "bacterial SSU rRNA". It matches the Rfam family "Bacterial small subunit ribosomal RNA", at positions 361 to 776 of the family's 1533-position model. The record is from RNAcentral.
AUAUUGGACAAUGGGCGAAAGCCUGAUCCAGCAAUGCCGCGUGAGUGAUGAAGGCCCUAGGGUUGUAAAGCUCUUUUACCCGGGAUGAUAAUGACAGUACCGGGAGAAUAAGCCCCGGCUAACUCCGUGCCAGCAGCCGCGGUAAUACGGAGGGGGCUAGCGUUGUUCGGAAUUACUGGGCGUAAAGCGCGCGUAGGCGGCUUCGCAAGUCAGAGGUGAAAGCCCGGGGCUCAACCCCGGAAUUGCCUUUGAGACUGCGUCGCUAGAAGCCGGGAGAGGUGAGUGGAAUUCCGAGUGUAGAGGUGAAAUUCGUAGAUAUUCGGAAGAACACCAGUGGCGAAGGCGGCUCACUGGACCGGUAUUGACGCUGAGGUGCGAAAGCGUGGGGAGCAAACAGG